This 797-nucleotide ribosomal RNA is filed under the name Clostridioides difficile. RNAcentral's name for it is "bacterial LSU rRNA". It matches the Rfam family "Bacterial large subunit ribosomal RNA", at positions 163 to 965 of the family's 2925-position model. Lineage: Bacteria; Bacillati; Bacillota; Clostridia; Peptostreptococcales; Peptostreptococcaceae. The record is from RNAcentral.
UACAUAGCUUAAUGAGGGGAACUCAGGGAACUGAAACAUCUAAGUACCUGAAGGAAGAGAAAGAAAUUCGAUUCCGUAAGUAGCGGCGAGCGAACGCGGAUUAGCCCAAACCAAUAAAGUUUUCUUUAUUGGGGUUGCGGACAUAUCAUAACGAAGAGGUAUCGUAAUUGAAGAGGUUUGGAAAGACCCACCACAGAAGGUAAUAGUCCUGUAUGUUAAACGAGAAGACUUUAGAUAUGAUCCAGAGUACCACGGGACACGUGAAACCCUGUGGGAAGCAGGAGGGACCACCCUCCAAGGCUAAAUACUACCUAGUGACCGAUAGCGUAUAGUACCGUGAGGGAAAGGUGAAAAGAACCCCGGGAGGGGAGUGAAAUAGAACCUGAAACCCUGCACUUACAAGCUGUGGAAGCACAUUUCUUGUGUGACCGCGUACUUUUUGUAGAACGGGCCAACGAGUUACGUUAAGUAGCAAGGUUAAGCACUUAAGGUGCGGAGCCGUAGCGAAAGCGAGUUUUAACUGAGCGUUCAGUUACUUGACGUAGACCCGAAACCGGGCGACCUACCCAUGAGCAGGAUGAAGCGAAAGUAAAAUUUCGUGGAGGUCCGAACCCACGAGCGUUGAAAAGCUCGGGGAUGACUUGUGGGUAGCGGUGAAAUUCCAAUCGAGCCCGGAGAUAGCUGGUUCUCCCCGAAAUAGCUUUAGGGCUAGCCUCAAGGUGAGAGAUACGGAGGUAGAGCACUGAAUGUCCUAGGGGGUAUUGCACCUACCGAAGACUAUCAAACUCCGAAUGCCG